RNAcentral lists this ribosomal RNA (254 nucleotides) under uncultured bacterium. RNAcentral's name for it is "partial 16S ribosomal RNA". It matches the Rfam family "Bacterial small subunit ribosomal RNA", at positions 524 to 776 of the family's 1533-position model. The record is from RNAcentral.
UACGUAGGGUGCAAGCGUUGUCCGGAAUUAUUGGGCGUAAAGAGCUCGUAGGCGGUGUGUCACGUCGUUCGUGAAAACCUGCAGCUUAACUGUGGGCGUGCGGUCGAUACGGGCAUCACUGGAGUUCGGCAGGGGAGACUGGAAUUCCUGGUGUAGCGGUGAAAUGCGCAGAUAUCAGGAGGAACGCCGGUGGCGAAGGCGGGUCUCUGGGCCGAUACUGACGCUGAGACGCGAAAGCGUGGGGAGCGAACAGG